AGGCCCGUAGCUCAGCUGGAAGAGCGCCGGUCUCCAAAACCGGUGGUCGUCGGUUCGAACCCGGCCGGGCCUGCCA
Molecule: transfer RNA, 76 nt
Filed under: Armatimonadota bacterium
Lineage: Bacteria; Bacillati; Armatimonadota
Also listed under: 1 other name
Description: Armatimonadetes bacterium (marine sediment metagenome) tRNA-Trp
Rfam family: tRNA
About the family: Transfer RNA (tRNA) molecules are approximately 80 nucleotides in length. Their secondary structure includes four short double-helical elements and three loops (D, anti-codon, and T loops).
Source: RNAcentral